This 211-nucleotide unclassified non-coding RNA is filed under the name Glomeraceae sp. Its description in RNAcentral is "partial contains 5.8S ribosomal RNA and internal transcribed spacer 2". The stretch from base 1 to 71 matches the Rfam family "5.8S ribosomal RNA", at positions 84 to 154 of the family's 154-position model. The record is from RNAcentral. Lineage: Eukaryota; Fungi; Glomeromycota; Glomeromycetes; Glomerales; Glomeraceae.
GUGAAUCAUCGAAUUUUUGAACGCAAAUUGCACUCUCUGGUAUUCCGGAGAGUAUGCCUGUUUGAGGGUCAGAUUAAAUAAAAAUCGGUGUGGUUGCUGCUUUCCGUUGUGACGCACCGGAUGUGGGUCGUCUUGCCUUCGGUUAAGCGACCUAAAAUUUUGCUUGAUUUUUUCGGACGGAUUUAAAUGAUUUUAUGUUCGUUCGCGUUAU